This 852-nucleotide long non-coding RNA is filed under the name Homo sapiens (human). RNAcentral describes it as "HSALNT0017068". The record is from RNAcentral. Lineage: Eukaryota; Metazoa; Chordata; Mammalia; Primates; Hominidae.
UCUUGGGUGUGGUACAAGAGCUUGAGAAUCACCAAAUGUGGGUACAAGCUAUAACACAGACAAGCUGAGGCACACCAGCAUAGCCAAGCAAGCCCUGGGCGGACAUCACUGGCUGGAGGUCCCAGGCUUGCAAAGUGACCAAGAAGAAAAAAUCCUACAUCAGUUGUCCACAUCCCAUGUAUUGCAGUUCCAUUCCUUCAUAAUUAGGGCUCUGACCUUGGCAGAGCUGGUCUGUGGAACUCAGAACUCAACCUUCUCUGAAACUCUGUGCUUCCAUAAUUAAAUCCUAAAUUCAUUCCUCAGGUUUUUCUGCACUCCAAUGAUAGGAGAUGAGGGUAUCUUUUUAUGCUUCUGAGGAUGUCCUCUGGAAUUCUGACUUAGCCUGUAAGAGGUGAUUAAUUACCCUCAGCCUUUUACGGUCUUGCCCCAAAGAAUAGAUUAUUUCCUAACAACAACUAUCUAGUUCUAUUGUCUUUAUAAUGACUAUUGCCCUGUAUCUCUCAAAUGCCUGAUACACUACUUGCCAGUAAGUCCUAUUCUACCAGCCAUCCUUCCAUGUACACCAUGGUGGAGUUUUAAUAGUUGCAGCAGUACAGCGGGCCUGAGGCCAUUUGUGCACCCCCAACCACCAGCGGCUGGUCCUCACAGCUGGCUGGCCAGUGGAUGAUUCCACCCUCAAAUCUCAAUUUACAAACAGUCUUCAUUCUUGGAUGAAUCCCCACACUGCCACAGAUCAGAUUUCCUGGGCAUCAGACUCUGAGAAGGAGACCGGGUGCAAGAGGUGCAUGGUGACACAUGCCUGUAAUCCCAGCUUGGGAGGCUGAGGCAGAAGAAUUGCUUGAAUCUGGGAGG